Pan troglodytes (chimpanzee) is the source of this 2799-nucleotide long non-coding RNA. RefSeq lists it as uncharacterized. NCBI's taxonomy places the organism in Eukaryota, Metazoa, Chordata, Mammalia, Primates, Hominidae. The transcript has 7 exons. The record is from RefSeq and is a predicted model, not a curated record.
GUCAGUGGCAACUUGGUCGGGUCUGCUUCCACGCUGUGGAGGCUUUGUUUUUUACUCUUUGCAGUAAAUCUUGCUGCUGCUCACUCUUUGGGUCCGCACUGCUUUUGUGAGCUGUAACACUCACGGAGAAGGUCUGCAGCUUCAUUUCUGAGCCAGCGAGACCACCAGCCCGCCAGGAGGAAGAAACGCCAAACACAGCUGAACAUCAGAAGGAACAAACUCCUAACACGCCGCCUUUAAGAACUGUAACACCUCGAGGGUCCGCGGCUUCAUUCUUGAAGUCGCAGAGACCAAGAACCCACCAAUUCCGGACACAAAUGCAUCAUUGCACUCCAGCCUGGGUGACAGAGUGAAACCCUGUCUCAAAAAUAAGCUUCCAUUGACGACCAGCUUUGGCUGUUCCAACUCACCACAGCCUCUGAAAGACCCAUGCUCUCUUUGGAUUGCUUGGUACCUGCAGCACGUUUCCAUGCCUGGGAGGGAGAAUAAGAGUAAGUGAACAGUUUACUCUUACUGGAACAUUCCAAUGCUCUUACAGAUAAUAACUAAGUGAAUGAAAACAAAAAGUUCAGGCAUUCACUGGCAAAAUCCAACUCUGAACAGAACGCACGUCAUGGUGAGAGUACUUUGGUCACCACGGGAAACACAACCAACCAAGUGUUUUGCCAAGAGACACAGAUCAGAACGCGCAUCACAACACUGCAUGGCUCAUUCAGUGCAGGUUGCCACAGGUCUACAGUCACAUGGUUAAUGAAAAUCCAAAACAGGACCAACAGGAUGACACCUUUUCUGUUCUUAAUGCUCAUUGCCAUUAUUGCUAGAUCUCACUCUGUAGCCCAGGAUGGAGUGUCGUGGCCAGAUCUCGGCUCAAUGCAGCUUUGACCUCCCCAGCUCAAGUGAUCCUCCCACCUCAGCCUCCCGAGUAACUGGGACCACAGGUAAGGACCACAAGUCUCAGAAGAGUAGGAAGUGCCCAGCAUCACACAGGAAGCAAGUUACAGAACCAAGGGCUCUGUUCGUAAACUCUUCAACAUCUUUUAUCACAUAAGGGCUCAUAGGUCCAACUAACUGAAAGCCUCAAUUUGUGGGAAGAAGAGAAGCGAGGCUGGGGACACAGCACAAACGGUGUUUACGCCACUGAAGUUCUUUUGAAAUGGAAAGGCUCUGCAUGAAGAAGCGAACAGUUAUGCCACUGCCUCGCCAAUUCCAGUGAGGAGCUCAUCUUCAAUGUAGUGUUCAACGUAGGUGGCAAAACUGUAAUUUUUCCCUUUUUUGAAACUAUUUUUUCUUCUUUUAUUUUUGAAAUUCUCAUCUAAGCGACAGUUUCUUGUACUAUAGUGACUCCUGCUGGGAGAGGUAAGUUGAAGUAGCUGAAGGUCUCUUACAGAUAUAUCAACUCCCGGCCAGUAAAAAAGAUGUCCUAAACGCAGGAGAUGGAGUUAAACUGUUCCCCUACCUUGGACGCAAUGGCUUCUUUCAUCACUAAGAACAAACCCCUAGGUUUUACAAUUGAGACUGAGAAACUAGUACAGUACUUGUACAAUUUUUGAUCUACAGCAUCACGACGUGAAGCUGCAACAAUUAGAUGUAAAGGGUCCAUUCAUGAGGAAUAACAUCACUUUGACCCUUUGUGUUAGCUCCUACUGCUAAUCUUUCCAUAAGCGUGAACUUACUUUCAAUUUGAAGAAGAUGAAAAAGUCUUUUGCAAAACCCCAAUACUGUUUUCUGAUCUAUGUACCUGAAUGGAGAAACGUAGUCUUACCUCGUUUUUUUCCACUACAAGCCAAGCUACUUGUAAUCCUUCCAAACCUUUAAAGGGGACCUCCCUUGUUAGCAUCUCCCAGAGAACCUGGAACAAAAAGAAAAUGGAAUUUUUAUUCUUGUACUUUAUAUUUUUUGGUACAUAUUACUGAAACUUUAUCUAACAUGUAAUUGUAUCUAAUUACCAGACACAACCAACCCCAACUGUAGAAACUUGGGCAAAACAAUUAAGCACACAACUUCUUCCAUAUAUUAAAUACUUUUUACGUUCUUUUUUAUAAAGAAAAAACCUGGUUUAGAAAUUAGGACAUCUAGAGCCAGACUUAAAAUUUUAUGAAACCAAUGGGCCUGACUGAUUUAAUGUCAUCUCAUAAAUUAUCAGAAUUUUUAUGUUCUCACAAAUUAGAUUGUGUAUUUUGUUAGUUAAAACUCUUUCUACCUUCAAUUUCUGAUACAUUUGUCUAGGAAAUAAUAACUGGGAAUUCAACAAUAUUUUAAAAGGUUCAAUAAUGGUCUCAUCAAAAAUAACUGAGCCCCAAAUCCAAAUCACUGGCUAACCUACCUACCCCACAAUGGUAGAUACUUGCAAAAUUGUAAUAUUUAGAUUUUACAUGUUACAUUUUAGAUUUUGGAGAAAUCUCCCGCAAAAUGAGUCGGUCUAAGGGAUCUAUUUUCAUCUACCUACAAUAUAAUCUAUUAUACCAUACUCUAAGAUGUAAUAAACACUUUCUAUACAUAUAAGCUGACUACGUGAAAGUGAGCUUAUGUGUGUGUUCAUCUUUGUGCAGUUCUUGAGAUCAGUAUGAUUAUUAAAUCUGAGUGGAAUGCCCAAAGAAAGCAAAUUGAUGCUAGGAAUACUGCUGAUUUUGGGUUCUCUUGAAACACUGAGUAAUGGAGAUUUGUAUACUAUGUUACUUUUCCCUGUUUAUACAAAUGGAGUUCAAAAAUGUGAGUCUACCAAUACUCUGUAAAGUGCAAAAACAAUUCUAGUUUUAUCAGUAAUAGUCCUAAUAAUAAAAACCACCACCGCUUAUUGAG